RNAcentral lists this ribosomal RNA (220 nucleotides) under uncultured bacterium. RNAcentral's name for it is "partial 16S ribosomal RNA". It matches the Rfam family "Bacterial small subunit ribosomal RNA", at positions 524 to 742 of the family's 1533-position model. The record is from RNAcentral.
UACGUAGGGUGCAAGCGUUAAUCGGAAUUACUGGGCGUAAAGCGUGCGCAGGCGGUUUGUAAGUCUGACGUGAAAUCCCCGGGCUUAACCUGGGAAUUGCGUUGGAGACUGCAAGGCCGGAGUCUGGCAGAGGGGGGUAGAAUUCCACGGUGAUAGCAGUGAAAUGCGUAGAGAUGUGGAGGAACACCGAUGGCGAAGGCAGCCCCCUGGGUCAAGACUG